This 443-nucleotide ribosomal RNA is filed under the name uncultured bacterium. RNAcentral describes it as "partial 16S ribosomal RNA". It matches the Rfam family "Bacterial small subunit ribosomal RNA", at positions 338 to 795 of the family's 1533-position model. The record is from RNAcentral.
CCUACGGGAGGCAGCAGUGGGGAAUAUUGGGCAAUGGGCGCAAGCCUGACCCAGCAACGCCGCGUGAAGGAAGAAGGCUUUCGGGUUGUAAACUUCUUUUCUCAGGGACGAAGCAAGUGGCGGUACCUGAGGAAUAAGCCACGGCUAACUACGUGACAGCAGCCGCGGUAAUACGUAGGUGGCAAGCGUUAUCCGGAUUUACUGGGUGUAAAGGGAGUGUAGGCGGGAAAGCAAGUCAGAUGUGAAAGCCAUGGGCUCAACCUUGGGCUUGCAAUUGAAACUGUUUUUCUUGAGUACUGGAGAGGCAGACGGAAUUCCUAGUGUAGCGGUGAAAUGCUUAGAUAUUAGGAGGAACACCAGUUGCGAAGGCGGUCUGCUGAACAGCAACUGACGCUGAGGCGCGAAAGCGUGGGGAGCAAACAGGAUUAGAUACCCGGGUAGUC